This 163-nucleotide ribosomal RNA is filed under the name Ferula grigoriewii. Its description in RNAcentral is "5.8S ribosomal RNA". It matches the Rfam family "5.8S ribosomal RNA". Rfam says of the family: 5.8S ribosomal RNA (5.8S rRNA) is a component of the large subunit of the eukaryotic ribosome. It is transcribed by RNA polymerase I as part of the 45S precursor that also contains 18S and 28S rRNA. The record is from RNAcentral. Lineage: Eukaryota; Viridiplantae; Streptophyta; Magnoliopsida; Apiales; Apiaceae.
AAACGACUCUCGGCAACGGAUAUCCCGGCUCUCGCAUCGAUGAAGAACGUAGCGAAAUGCGAUACUUGGUGUGAAUUGCAGAAUCCCGUGAACCAUCGAGUCUUUGAACGCAAGUUGCGCCCGAAGCCRUUAGGCUGAGGGCACGUCUGCCUGGGUGUCACGC